GAAAUGACAACAGCUAGCGCAGAAACAAAAUAAAGAAAAAUGGCUCACCGGAGAACGGGAAGGGCUCGUCGGAAGAAACAACUUCGUGCGUGGCAGGGACCCCUCGACACAGCGACGAGUGCGGCGAGACCUCCAGCUAGGACAUCGGUCCUUUCUCCACGGUGACAAAUGAUGCGACGACGAGCUCUGCAUGGGACCUCUGCUCGACGGCGGGCGCGGCGCCGGGGCGACUGCGUGAUGCAAGGGGUGGUUGCUGCAAGGUUGAGGGACAGAGAGCAGGUGCCGACUGUUUGAAUGGGACUAUGGGAGCGGCUAUAACGGACCAUUGCUAAAUUCUUGCGUCGUGGCCAUAUAGUGCGGUAGAGGUUGUUCACACACGGAAGAGAUGGUGGUGGGCCUGCGGCGCAGCAGCCGAGUGCGGCGCUGGUGCUUCCCCCACGCGUGCUAGCAGGUAGAUAUGAAUAUACAUAUAUGUUUAUAUGAAUAUAUCUAUUUAUAUUAGAUCAUGUCCCGAUAAUUUAAUUUGAUAGUUUUUCCUUCUUUCGAGUGUGAACACCGCCAAGAUCAUUUUAGCAAACAGAAAGAAAAUGUACCUCGGCUUAAAAUAUAAUACACAUAUUUAUUUAAAAUAGCAUCUAUAAAUUCCAUGUUAACUCCCCAUUUAAUAACAAACAAAAGAGGAAAAGAAAGGAAAAGAAAAUGUAACACCUGAAUUUUGAGAGUAGAUAAAAGAAAAUUUUAUACCCUCAAAAUCAGGGUGUUACAAAUCUAACCCCCUUAACAGAAUCUCGCCCUCGAGAUUCAAGAAGAAGCUAGAAAGAAAAACAAGGUUGGUUCACUUCGAUUCAAUUUUAACACUACCAGCUUAACUUGCUGACAUGAUACUUUGACCUUCAGAUAUUCACGAUCAACUGAUGCAACUCUUGAGGAUCUCUUGGACCUAUGGGUUAGGACCCACACACGCUUUCGGUGCGCCACUUUAAUCGUGUUGGUUGAUGCUGUUCGCAUUGUCUUCAUUGGGGUUAGCGGCUAACCCCCUUAACAGGAGCGUUGAUAUGCACUUGGUGAAGAUGUUAUCGAUUUUGAUCUUGACCGAUUAAGAGAGGUUGGUUGGAGGUUGCCAACCGGACAGGUGCAAGAGGGAAGGGUAUAGAUAGGAAAGGUACACAUAGAUGAAUUAAAAAGAGAAAAGGGAGAGCACCCAGAUACCUAACUCUAUGGCACUCAGCUAGUAAACUGAUGUCAUUGCGGACCAAGGACCACAACACAUCAACACUCAUCACAGAGAAGCAAAUCAGUCAUCACACAAAGACAAACAGCACAAGCAUACAACAACAAACAUCUCGUUGCUACACGUUAAUGUUAACUAGAUGGUGGUCUUUCUUGAAAAGGGAAUACCUACUCUCUAAGGCCGUCGAAGGACGAGGAGAGAAACAAGACGUGCAUGAUAGGGGCACGAGCACAACAAAGGAUGGAGUUAAGUGGCCAAGAAAAUGAUACGACCAAGGGCAUAAUGGGUAGAACACCACUCUCGAGUCAAGAUAUAAAAGAGUGGAUUUCAAAAGGCAGACCUAAGAUAAGCAUCAAGGCAAGAUCUAGUGAUUACAAAGGUAAGGGGACUAUCAAACAAAAGCUACGACUGGCAAUGUGGCAGAGGAAAAGGGAACGACCAAGAGUGGGAUGGGUAAGACAACACUCUUGAACUAAAACGAGGGAGGAGGCUUUAAAAUACAGGUACGAGAUAAGCAUCAAGGUAAAGAUCAAGGGAUGACAAGGGUGAGGGUGAUAACGGGCAAAUAAACAAAAAAGGAUGUAUUUUAGACAAAACGUGCAAGGCGUCAAAGGAGGGGAAGCAAUUAAUGGUGAAGUAGAUGAGGCAUUAUCCUUGAGCAGAGAUCGAAAGGAGGAGGUUUUGAAGGGUAGGUUCAAAGUAAGCAUGAAUGUAAGGGUAUAGAUAUUACAAGGGUUAAAGGUGAUAACAGACAAUAAUGUAAGAGAGGAGGUAAAUGGACAUAAGAACAAAAGAUAUAAGUAACAUAAAGGAUGGAGUUAAGACAAUACCUACAAGUGGAAAAGAAGAGGAUACGUCCAAGGGCCAAAUAGGUAAAUUGCCACUCUCAAAUUGAGGUGGAAGAGAGGAGAUUUUUAAUAGUCAGAAUAAAGAUGAGUAUCGACGCAAGAUCGAUGGAUGAAAAGGUGAUGGUGAUAGCAAAUAAAAAACACAGCAAAGGAUGGAAUUAAGACAAAACUUGUAAGGCGACAAGGAGUGAAAAGAAAUCAUGGGAGAGAUAAGUAACUCAUAGCUCUCAAACUAGGUUGAAAGAAAGGGGAGGCUUUUAAAGGAUAAGUUCAAGGUAAGCAUUUAGGUAGAAUACCUCAAUAUCGCAAGGGUCAAAGGCGAUAACAGACAAGGGUAUGAGAGAAAAGAUGAAGGCAUGGGAGAGCCAGUGGUAUGAGUACAACAAAUAAUAGAGUUGCGUCCGAGCUUAUACGCGGUAAAGAAGAGGAUAUAGCCAAGGGUGAGGUAAGGAAAGUACCGCUCUCAAAUUGGGAUAGGAGAUUGGAGAUUUUAGAGAAUGAACAAAGUGUAAUCACCAAGGUAAGAUCUAGAGAUGAGAAAGGUAAAGAUAAUACCCAACCGAAGCACAACAAAGGAUGGAGUUAAAAACCCGCAAGCGACAAGGAAGAGGAUACAACCAAUGGAAAAUGGGUAAAAUACAACUAUAAAAUUGAGAUGGAAGAGAGAACAUUUUAAAGGACAGGUAUAACAUAAGCAUCAAGUAAGAUAUAGAGGUGACAAGGGUAAAGGUGAUAAUGAUGAAAAGCAUAAUCCGUGGACAGAGUUAAGGCAAGAUUCACAAAAUGACUAAGUGGAGAAAACAAUCAAGGAUAAGAUAAGUGAGGUUCCAACAUAAGAGUUGAAGUAAAAAUUCAUUGCCGAAGGAAGUUACAAGGAAACAACGAGAUUAUCACGGUUGUGCAAAAUAAAAUGAUCGCUCAUGGAUCAUUAAGAAAUAGGGGUGGUCAAGGACAUGUUAACUGAAAUGUCUAAGUAGGCAGUAGAAAUUUAGAGGCAAGUAUUUGAAACAAGAGUAUUAAAGGGAUACAAGCAUGUCAAUACCAAAGAACUAGAGUUCGCCAGAUGGUAACAACUUAAUGACGAAAGAGGAAAGAAUCCCAAAAAGACAAGAAGGUUAUGGUCAGGGGGCAUCUACAAAGAUGUUGCAAGCACAAGAGUGAGAUCAGAUCUAAUAGAUUGAGAGAAGUAUAGACCAUACUAGAAUAAAAUACUUUUGGCAAGGGGCAUAUAGGAACACAACAUAGCAUUAGUCGAGGCGACUAAUAUUUUGAAGCGGAAUCAAGGAUGAGGUGAAGUAAUAAUCAAUGAGUCCUUAAAACGGCCAUUGCUACUCUAGGUCAGCGGUCCUACAGUCAGCAAGGCUUUGAUACCACUUAUGUCACACCCGGUUUUGAAGGUAAACCGAAUGCGAACCAUGUACGUGCCAGGAUCAGAAAUUCACGUACAUAGUGAUUACAUAAAUGACUCAUCAUAGCACAAUGCUUCGAAUAACAAUAAAGAGUAAGUAAUAAUAUUACAGACCAGAGCCAUUUACAUAAUAUAAAUCAAAGUACACAUAGUAGAAACGUAGCCAACGUAAACAACCCACCACAGGCAGCUGACUGGGGGAGGUCGCUAGCCUAAUCCUCGAACUCGUCGAAGUCCUGGAACUCCUGGAGAUCUGCCUCGACACCUCCUUCUUUACCUGAGCAUAGAUUGCACCAAAGGCAACCUGGUGUUUUGUGAAAGCAAGGGUGAGUACACAUCAACGUACUCAGCAAAUGUUCCGUUUGGUUGUAGUGGACUAGCUUUAUGUGGGGUUAGGCUCAAGCAGUUGCUUUUAGUUGGUCAGGUAUUUAUUGUUAGUAGAAGCCAGAUUUUAUCAUAAAACCCAAGUUAUAAUCCCAAAAGUACCUCCUGAGAGAGGGAAUACUAGAAUUCAUAAUUAAAGUCACCAUCAUUAACCAUCAUCAUUAAAGUCAUCAUCCAAGGUGUAUCCGGAGUAUCUCUAAUCAAAGAGGAUCCCAAGGCUGCUCUUAACCGUGAGCACGGCUGAUAUAUCAGUUUCACUACCCUCUGCAGAGGUCGCACACUUUACCCAUGAGUCAUGAUUCCCUUUCUGCCCGAGGAGAGCUAAUCCCCGUUGAUCACUCCCUAGGUGGUCUGGCAGGGUAUCACUACGUAGCUGUUACAAAGAUUCCCUAGAGGUCAUAGCCGCCCGUUAGGUUUCUCCAGUUUGAUAAACACAGUACCCCUCCCCGCAGGAGAGUGACUAACCAAAAAGCAAAACAAAAGAACCUCGGCACUCAGCCUCGGCAGAGCAAGCACUGUGCCUGGACCCCAUUGACGGCACGACGGCGAAGCAACUACACCUCUAGUUCCUCUAAUUAAUUAGCUAAGGGCAUCCCAUUUCACCCUCAUGGUUGCACUGUUAUCCCGGGUGGUCUCUCAACGAACAGGUCCUUACGGAGAGGUGCUCGGGAAACGGCCCGAGUCCCCUAAAAUGCCACAAGUAUAUCACCAUCGUAUCCAAAAUAAAAGCAUCGUAUCAUCAAGUAAUUCUCAUCAUGUUCGUUGAUUAGAGUAAAGCGCUAGCAUGUAGUUAACCAUAGUAAUCCGAAAGGUAAAGAAGGAUAAGGUAAAUAGAAAGCUAGUAAAUCCUUAGGUUAUUCAUAGUAUGCGGUACAGUGUAUUAUAAAGUACAUGGGACAUAAUGGGACUGAGGACACUUGCCUUCACCAAACAGAUGCUCAGAAUCUUCAGCCUUGUAGAACUCGAAGAGCUGGGUCAUUUGGUCGCCGAAGCUUGACCGUCGAUUCCUCAAAGCUCAGAAACGAAUCGCGAUCUAAUCGCAACACGAAGCGAAGACGAACAGGCACAAGCAAACAAACAUAUACAUAUGCAUAAGAAUAUUACACCAUACAAGAUAAAAUGUUAUAAAAGCGAGCAAUAUAAAAUAGAGAGCGCUUCUACGGUUACGCGAGAAUAUGAAACACGUCGGUCGGAGCUACGGUCGAUAAGUUAUCGCGUUUAUGCUAAACGAAUAUGAACUAGGACAUUUAAUUCGGCACUAUCAAAUAUAAAUUAUAUCUACUAUUUAGUUUUGACUAACUUACUAUUUUAAUAGUGGAGGAUUAAACGAAUAUUUAAUUAAAUGACAUGAGUGAUUAUAAGCGACCGAUUUAAUAUCGCGCGUGGACAGCACCCGAUAUGCAAAAAAGGCAAUGCGUGCGAAUGACGCGUGAAGACGCGUGACAAUACGCGAAAUAGGGCGCGACCAACACGCGAAACCACGCGUGCGACAACGCGUGCGAACGACGGCGCACGCGGACAGCACGCGAACGGCACGCCAGGAACACUAACCAAUAUCGCCAUUAUAAUAAACAAUUAUUAAUUAAAAAACAUUCGAGUAGACAUAAUCAUAUUAACAUGUAUUUAUAAAGUGCAACUAAAAUUGUAAAUUGGUUCAAGUAGAUUGCUACUUUACUAACUAUCUGAAAAAUAAAUAAUCAAUUAAUUAACUAAAACAUGUAUCACAAUGAAAUAGUGUUACUAAUACGUAAACAACGAGGUUACGAAACAAGUCGAAACAGAUUUGAGACUUAAAAAUAUUUUGAAUAUUUUAUAUCUCACAGAUUUAAUAGAAUGUGGCGUAAUCUAAUUGGUCAAAAUAUGGCCACACGGAGGACCAUAUGAGCAUGGGUGCCGAGGAUCCGUGGGAUUUGGAGCGGACGCUACAACGUGAAACAUCUAUAUUGACCAACCGUAGGGCGCCAUGUGGCCUGGAGACUAGUUUUUUCCACCACCCACGUGAUGCAUGCCGACAUGCAUGGGAGUCAUGCGUGCAUGGGUGGGCGAGCACUCGGCCACCGCUCAAUCGGCCUUUGGCCGCGACCAGCCAUGGCUGGUCGGCCAUGCAUCCAAGGGCUGGGCGUUUCACGGUUCGAUGUCGGCAGCGGAGGUGCGGUUGGCCGGCGAAGGAUAGAAAUGAUAACAGCUAGCGCAGAAACAAAAUAAAGAAAAAUGGCUCACCGGAGAACGGGAAGGGCUCGCCGGAAGAAACAACUUCGUGCGUGGCAGGGACCCCUCGACACAGCGACGAGUGCGGCGAGACCUCCAGCUAGGACAUCGGUCCUUUCUCCACGGUGACAAAUGAUGCGACGACGAGCUCUGCAUGGGACCUCUGCUCGACGGCGGGCGCGGCGCCGGGGCGACUGCGUGAUGCAAGGGGUGGUUGCUGCAAGGUUGAGGGACAGAGAGCAGGUGCCGACUGUUUGAAUGGGACUAUGGGAGCGGCUAUAACGGACCAUUGCUAAAUUCUUGCGUCGUGGCCAUAUAGUGCGGUAGAGGUUGUUCACACACGGAAGAGAUGGUGGUGGGCCUGCGGCGCAGCAGCCGAGUGCGGCGCUGGUGCUUCCCCCACGCGUGCUAGCAGGUAGAUAUGAAUAUACAUAUAUGUUUAUAUGAAUAUAUCUAUUUAUAUUAGAUCAUGUCCCGAUAAUUUAAUUUGAUAGUUUUUCCUUCUUUCGAGUGUGAACACCGCCAAGAUCAUUUUAGCAAAC
Molecule: long non-coding RNA, 6621 nt
Filed under: Zea mays
Lineage: Eukaryota; Viridiplantae; Streptophyta; Magnoliopsida; Poales; Poaceae
Description: long non-coding RNA (ZMAY_LNC005610)
Source: RNAcentral